RNAcentral lists this ribosomal RNA (497 nucleotides) under uncultured bacterium. RNAcentral's name for it is "partial 16S ribosomal RNA". It matches the Rfam family "Bacterial small subunit ribosomal RNA", at positions 28 to 507 of the family's 1533-position model. The record is from RNAcentral.
GACGAACGCUGGCGGCGUGCCUAAUACAUGCAAGUUGAGCGCUGAAGGUUGGUACUUGUACCAACUGGAUGAGCAGCGAACGGGUGAGUAACGCGUGGGGAAUCUGCCUUUGAGCGGGGGACAACAUUUGGAAACGAAUGCUAAUACCGCAUAAAAACUUUAAACACAAGUUUUAAGUUUGAAAGAUGCAAUUGCAUCACUCAAAGAUGAUCCCGCGUUGUAUUAGCUAGUUGGUGAGGUAAAGGCUCACCAAGGCGAUGAUACAUAGCCGACCUGAGAGGGUGAUCGGCCACACUGGGACUGAGACACGGCCCAAACGCCUACGGGAGGCAGCAGUAGGGAAUCUUCGGCAAUGGACGAAAGUCUGACCGAGCAACGCCGAGUGAGUGAAGAAGGUUUUCGGAUCGUAAAACUCUGUUGGUAGAGAAGAACGUUGGUGAGAGUGGAAAGCUCAUCAAGUGACGGUAACUACCCAGAAAGGGACGGCUAACUACGUG